This is a non-coding RNA of Hordeum vulgare subsp. vulgare (domesticated barley), 134 nucleotides long. NCBI's taxonomy places the organism in Eukaryota, Viridiplantae, Streptophyta, Magnoliopsida, Poales, Poaceae. The record is from Rfam.
CCUAUACUCCCCCCGUCCUAAAAUUCUUGUCUUAGAUUUGUUUAUAUAUGAAUGUAUCUAGUCAAGUUAUAUUAUUUAGAUACAUCAAUUUCUACAAAAGUUAAGACAAGAAUUUGGAACGAAGAGAGUAUUUA